RNAcentral lists this ribosomal RNA (252 nucleotides) under uncultured bacterium. RNAcentral describes it as "partial 16S ribosomal RNA". It matches the Rfam family "Bacterial small subunit ribosomal RNA", at positions 524 to 776 of the family's 1533-position model. The record is from RNAcentral.
UACGUAGGUCCCGAGCGUUGUCCGGAUUUAUUGGGCGUAAAGCGAGCGCAGGUGGUUUAUUAAGUCUGGUGUAAAAGGCAGUGGCUCAACCAUUGUAUGCAUUGGAAACUGGUAGACUUGAGUGCAGGAGAGGAGAGUGGAAUUCCAUGUGUAACGGUGAAAUGCGUAGAUAUAUGGAGGAACACCGGUGGCGAAAGCGGCUCUCUGGCCUGUAACUGACACUGAGGCUCGAAAGCGUGGGGAGCAAACAGG